GACUGAGGCUGUGCUCAAAUCAGUCAUUUAUCCAAGAGGAAGUCCCCAACAUGUGAUGGUAGGCUAUAAAGAGGAAUUUCCAUAAAGAAGAGUGUUCAGUCUUCUCUGCUCAAUCCAUGCUAUAUUAUGCUGAGUGCUUGACCUGAUUGUCUAGCUGGUGGAUUAAAGAUUACAGUCAUGGAGAAAUUUGCAUGACUGAUCCAGUGGCUUUUAAUGAUCAGGCUGCAUUUUCUGAAAACUUCACGGAAUAAGUCAGAUGAAAAGAAAAUGACUCAGGGCAGCUCUGGGACAUGGGCUGGCAACCAUCACGCCAAGAUGACAGCCACUUGUCACUAAUGUAAUAACCACAAGCAGUAUGACUCUUCUCCCUCUUUCUGUGGUUAGUGCAGAGGUGGCAAAG
Long non-coding RNA from Hyaena hyaena (striped hyena), 400 nucleotides. RefSeq lists it as uncharacterized. The transcript is spliced from 3 exons. NCBI's taxonomy places the organism in Eukaryota, Metazoa, Chordata, Mammalia, Carnivora, Hyaenidae. The record is from RefSeq and is a predicted model, not a curated record.